AAUUUUGGACAAUGGGGGCAACCCUGAUCCAGCCAUCCCGCGUGUGCGAUGAAGGCCUUCGGGUUGUAAAGCACUUUUGGCAGGGAAGAAAAGGCUCUGGCUAAUCCCUGGAGCUGCUGACGGUACCCAAGGAGGAAGCCCCGGCUAACUACGUGCCAGCAGCCGCGGUAAUACGUAGGGGGCAAGCGUUGUCCGGAAUUAUUGGGCGUAAAGGGUGCGUAGGCGGCCUUUUAAGUCAGAUGUGAAAGACCACGGCUUAACCGUGGGGUUGCAUUUGAAACUGGAGGGCUUGAGUAUCGGAGAGGGUAGUGGAAUUCCCAGUGUAGCGGUGGAAUGCGUAGAUAUUGGGAGGAACACCAGUGGCGAAGGCGACUACCUGGACGAAAACUGACGCUGAGGCACGAAAGCUAGGGGAGCAAAC
RNAcentral lists this ribosomal RNA (421 nucleotides) under uncultured bacterium. Its description in RNAcentral is "partial 16S ribosomal RNA". It matches the Rfam family "Bacterial small subunit ribosomal RNA", at positions 360 to 773 of the family's 1533-position model. The record is from RNAcentral.